UGGAUGUACUGGAUUCCUUCCAGGAUCUGACGCAUGUAGUUCACAAUGUUGGGUUCCGUGUGCUCUAAGUUCUCAUCUACUAUCCGUUCAAACAACUCACCACCUGCAAUACUGCAAUGAGACAGAACAAGUACAGUUUAAGGAGACGGAUAUAUCUACUCACUACUCCAGAAUCAUGACGAUCUCAGACGGGGUGUCGUAGGCUGCGAAACACUGCACCAGCUUCGGGUGACGUAGUUCAUUCAUCAGUUUGAUUUCUUGACGCGCUGCCUUUUUAUCUCUGGAGACACGAGCCCGGUAGAAUUUCCCAGCAUACACCUGACCUGUUUGCUUAUGGGUCAUCCUGUACACAUCCCCAAACUUCCCUCUGUGGAGAUGUAAGAUGACGGUUUAAGAUAAAUAUAAAUAUCAAAUUUUAAACUUGAUUUAUGAGAUGGCUGAUACUCACACUCCCAGUUUUUCAUGGACAUGAUAAUGAUCCCUGACUUUGUGUGUAGUGUCAGGCACAACCUCCACAUAUGAGGUCACUUCCUGUUGUGGCUGACCUGAAACAUUAAUUUUGAUUUAAUUUCUUGCUUAAGCAUCACUGACUUCAAAAAGAAACACUAGCAUUCUGUGUGUGUAUAUUUGAAAUUAUGUAAUUAUAUAAACUACAUAAAAAUAUAAAUAUUCUUGGUUUUUGUAACUAUUCAUUCUUAUAGAAGGCAUAUACAUUUAUAAUUUAAAAUUAUAAUAUUUACAUGAAAUUCUAAGUGUUAGUACAAAAUUAGCAUUUAUAAUUUAAAUAUAAAUUGUAAUUAUAGAAUUUACACAUUAAUUUUUUUAAAGGAAAAUAUUUAAAAUAACAGAAUUCAUUAUACAUUUAAACAAUAUUUACAUUUUAAAUAUAAAUGAAAAUAUUUUAAUGCUUAAAUUUGCUCUCAUAUAUUCCAUGCAUACAUAAUUUGUACACACUAAAACUUAUAUACACUACAGAAACAUUCAGAAUAGCAUGGUAACUUCUAGUGUUUAAAAGCUGGGCAUCUGUCUACCUGCAGUGUUCAUCUUAAUGCAGUCUGACUCCUCACUGGGGUCACUGGCUCCCACUGCGUUACAGGCUCGUACUCUGAAGCGAUACUGUCCCUGCGGGUCCAGACCAGAGCGGACCCGAUACGAGGUGUUCUGACACUGGUUAGUGAUUUCAGUCCAGUCACCGGGCUCGGUUUGGUCCAGCCUCUGAAACUCUACCACAUAGGCUGUGAUGGCAGAACCUCCAUCAAAACACGGCCCAGACCAGGACAGAACCAGAGAUGAGCGGGUCAGCUGGGACACGAACGGACAAGAGGCUGGAGGGUCUGGACGAUCUGGGGAGAAAUAGAAACAGGAAGCCACAGGCCCAGAGCUUCUGAAAGGACAGUGCAGUCGAGCGGUUCCUCCAACACAAACCACAACCUGCUGCUGGGGAUCCAAAAACUCCGCUACAGCACCUGGAGAACAGAAAGAGAGGCUACUGACACACA
Molecule: long non-coding RNA, 1499 nt
Organism: Cyprinus carpio (common carp)
Lineage: Eukaryota; Metazoa; Chordata; Actinopteri; Cypriniformes; Cyprinidae
Exons: 3
Source: RefSeq, a predicted model, not a curated record